This 376-nucleotide ribosomal RNA is filed under the name uncultured bacterium. Its description in RNAcentral is "bacterial SSU rRNA". It matches the Rfam family "Bacterial small subunit ribosomal RNA", at positions 521 to 896 of the family's 1533-position model. The record is from RNAcentral.
UAAGACGAACCGUGCGAACGUUGUUCGGAAUCACUGGGCUUAAAGGGCGCGUAGGCGGGCGAUCAAGUCAGGGGUGAAAUCCCGCAGCUCAACUGCGGAAGUGCCUUUGAUACUGGUUGUCUCGAGGGAGAUAGGGGCAUGCGGAACUUCCGGUGGAGCGGUGAAAUGCGUAGAUAUCGGAAGGAACGCCGAUGGCGAAAGCAGCGUGCUGGAUCUCUUCUGACGCUGAGGCGCGAAAGCUAGGGGAGCAAACGGGAUUAGAUACCCCGGUAGUCCUAGCCCUAAACGAUGGGUACUAGGUAGUGGACUUGACAUGGGUUCACUGCCGAAGCAAAAGUGUUAAGUACCCCGCCUGGGGAGUAUGGUCGCAAGGCUG